GACGAACGCUGGCGGCGUGCUUAACACAUGCAAGUCGAACGGAAAGACGCGGCCUUUGUGGUGUUCUCGAGUGGCGAACGGGUGAGUAACACGUGAGUAACCUUCCCUUGACUUGGGGAUGACUGCAGGAAACUGGGGUUAAUACCGGAUAGGAGCUCCGGCGGCAUGGGGGGGGUUGGAAAGUUUCGGCGGUUGGGGAUGGACUCGCGGCUUAUCAUCUUGUUGGUGGGGUAGUGGCUUACCAAGGCUUUGCCGGGUAGCCGGCCUGAGGGGGUGACCGGCCACAUUGGGCCUGGGAUACGGACCAGACUGCUACGGGGGGCAGCGGGGGGGAAUAUUACCCAAUAGGCGGAAGCCUGAGGAAGAGACGCCGCGUGCGGGAUGCCGGCCUUCGGGUUGUAAAACGCUUUCGCCUGUGACGAAGCGUGAGUGACGGUACUGGAUAAAGAAGCACCGGCUAACUACGUG
This 468-nucleotide ribosomal RNA is filed under the name uncultured bacterium. RNAcentral describes it as "partial 16S ribosomal RNA". It matches the Rfam family "Bacterial small subunit ribosomal RNA", at positions 28 to 507 of the family's 1533-position model. The record is from RNAcentral.